GUUGUGAUUAUUCCAUUUUUAAUGCUAUAUGUCAAAGGAAGUGUCUUGGCUUGCUUGGUAUAAUUCCUUGAGCAUUUCCUGUGCAAAUCAGGUGUUAUCAGAAACCAAAUCAUUUUCAUACAAGCUUUGAGAAGUUUUGUACACUUAAUGAUAGUUCUUUCUUCAUUUUUCCUUCUCAGCCUUCACCAAACAUAAAUAAGGCCCUCAAAUGAAGUUUACAAUAUGGUGAUGACUGAAGAUAAAAAAGACAGCUGUCUGGGUUCAUCUUGUGUGACCUGAAAGCAAUGUGGAGUGUAUACUUAAAGUUUUGUUUUCUCAAGUGUGUUACUUUUUCCACAAAAUGACUGAAGAUGAUUCAUGAGACUUUUCUUCAUUUGAUUUAAUAGGGCAGUAUCAUGAUGAUUUCAUUGCUAUUUCUAGUGUUGUACCUUUUUAUUUUCCCUCUUGAGAAAUACUAAACCACUACCAAAUGACUGUUACUUAUUUAUUUGUUUGUUUGUUUGUUCACUCAUUCUUUAUUUAUUUAUUUUCUAAAAUGCACUUACUAUGACGGAUGAUAACAUGCUCCCUUUUUAAAUUACGCUUAUAAUGUUAGAUUUUUCAUUUGUGUUCCAAAUACUAUUGGAAAAGUAUUCCCUAACCCAAAAUUUCUAAAAUAUAAUUCUUUUUUCUUUUUUUUUUCAAAAUGAUUGAAGUCUCUCUUCCAGAAAUCAAAAUGAUUGAAGUCUCUCUUCCAGAAAACAAAAUUAAAUGUACAACGAAAGUUGUGUCAAGGCAUACAAAGAGAAGUCUUGGGAAUGGAGAUUAAGAGGGAACUUCCAGAUGUCACCAGAACACUAGCGAUGCAAGGCUGCUGGUACCUCAUGAUGCCCACAAGUAUGCAGCUGUCUACACCAACCAGCAGUGUGGCUGAGGAGUGGACCAGGUCUGAACUGUGCCAUCAGUGGAUCACCAGAAGGAAUCAUUGAAGAAGUUUUCCUUCUAUGUUGGUUUCUAAGCAAUGAGGAAGGUACAAUGCACUGCAUAACAGUUUACAAAAUUGUUCCUCAUACGAGAGGAUCUCAGCAUUCUUGAUGGAGUGUAAUGGGCUGCGGUGCCCCCAGAAAUAGCCUUUAAAAGCCCCAGGCUGAUCAGCAUAAUUGCUGUCUCUUAAAACUUUGUGCCAGCACUGAUGUGAAUGGAGGAGACUCCAGCAAUGCGCCUGUUUCCAUGGAGUACAUCAAAGAACAAUGGAGCAGAAGGCAAAACUUGGAUGAAGCUACCCUCAGGAAAGAGGCUGGUACAUUUGUGGACAGGGAAAAGAGACAGAACAUGAAAGAAGCAUGCUAAAUGGAGAAUCUCAAGUCAUCCAGGCCAGUCCUUUGGCAUCAGCAGCAACCAUGUAACAGAGGUCUUUUUCAUGAACACAUCAAGAACAUCACUAACUUGGCAAUGUUGUAGUCUGAAGAACUCUGUCCCAUUCUGGUAAAGUUGGGCACGGUACAAAUUAAUUUCUUUAGGGAUGGCAUACUGCUCUUGGAGGAUGGUUUAAGAGCCCCAGGAAAUUAAAACUUUGGAUGGAAGCAGAUUUGUACAAUGUGACUACAUCCUUCCACCAUUCUGCAUAUCACCACUACAGUUCCUAACAGGAAUUUCCUCAGCAAAAAAAAACAUAUGCAGAGAUAAUAACCUCCCUGCUGAUACUGGCAGAUACUCUUCUUUCUGAUGGACUCAUUUCAUUCAUGGACGCAACAGGGGGUGAAAGGAUUAUUUUAGCAUAUUUAUUUUCUUUCCUUUCACAUCAUUCACUGAGUAUGCACAAAUUGGAAGAAUGCCAAAUUGUUUACAGAAGAUCAGAGAUGGUUCGAGCCAAAGCUAUCAGUCUAAGUGCCCUCAAACUUUAGGGGUUUUCUGAUGUGGCUUUGACUCCAAAAGCCAUGACUCAGCCCCAUCUCUGCACCAGAACGAGCACCAAAAUGAAUGUUAAGGACAAGCCCUGUACUGAGCUGUACUGUGAGCUCCCACUGAGUGCUAGACAUGAGAAAUCUCCCUGACUCUGUCAGUGUAAAGCUUCCAAGAUGCAGGUAAUGUACAUCAUAAAUUUGAGCUGAAAAAUUUACUACAAGUGCUUUUCCUUCAAAAAUCUCAGUAAGAUCCUAUCUCCUUCCCCUUCCAGACCACCCACAAUUACAACCACAAGCCACCCACAUGCCAGUCACCCCAUCAUCGUUAGAGGUCAUCUGUCAUUCUCAGUAUCAUUCUAAAAGCAUAGUUGCCAAGACAACAAACCACUUUAAACAGAUGUUUAAUGUCACAGAUAGAAUUCAUAUAGUUAGAAUUAAUAUUGACAUUUUUAACGUGUUUACUCCCUACUAAGUGCCUGCAUAAUUUGUGAAUCUUUGCUAUAUAUAUAGUACCAAAGGGGUGGCUUUGUAGUGAUAUGGGGAUCAGACAUUUGAAGGAAGGAAUUCUGAGCUGAGGUACUUCACUAGCUCUGGCUGAGCAGUGUGGUACCACGGGGUGUUUAUGCAAAACCCUCAAGCCAGUGUCAUCACCCAAAAUGAAGAGAAUAUUGUAAUGACAUUUCCAGUACUUCCUACUUCCUUUACUUUCUUAUUUUUUAGAGAAUCAUAGAAUUGCUAAGGUUGGAAAAGGCUCACAGGAGCAUCCAGUCCAACCAUUCACCCAUCACCAAUGGCUCUCGCUAAACCAUGCCACACAACACAACAUCCAUUUCUUUCUUCCUCCUUUUUUUUUUUCUUUUUUCUUUUUUUUUUUUUUUUUCCAGAUCAUGUCAUACACAUAUUGAAACUGCCGAGCAGAUAAGUAGCAAGGAAGAAUUUUCAAGUGCAUCAAAAUAGAAGUAUUUAUCCUCAGACAUCUACUGCUAAUAUUUUUCUUAAAGUCUUCCUAAGACUAAUGCUUUUCUGUUCAGAGAGAUGAAAUCUUCACCUAUGCUUUUAUCAGCUCUGGCUUUGAUCAUUUUUACCUUAUUUUCCUUAACUUAUCUGAGGCUCGUUCACAUGCAGCCAUUAUAGGUGAUCAUCUAUUCUUACCACUGAAGAUACAUAUCUGUAAUGUUUUUCUUCUCUUUUACAGUGACAAUGUUAUUUGAAAGGUUCUUUUUCCUCACUCAGGUCCAUUCUUAAUAGUCAGCUCCUAUGCCUUUAGGUAUUGCCCUUUGAGGGGAGACAGAUGUGUGAUCAGGAAUUCAUUUUUACAAUUAAUUUAUUUUUUAAUUUGAAAUACUUUGUGAUGUUGGUCAUGAUAUACAUGUGUCUUCAAUUGACUCCACUAUAUUAUUGCUGUUUAUUGUUUCUGUCAUCUUUGAUUUCCUCUUCUGUUACAGCUCUCACUUGUUAAAAAUUUUCUUAAUUUCAGACCUGUGUACUACAACUUACACAUCUGCUUACCUUUAGUCAUCUGUGUAUUCCCAUUGAUUCCAGUGAGAAUACACACAUACUUCAAAUUAAGCACAUGUUCAAGAUUUUUGGAGUUAAAUAAUGAAAAAUAAAGUCUAGUUGUUAUUAUUUUUUACCAGCUUCAACAGCUAGCAGCUUCUGCAGAUGGCUAAACCUGCAGAGAUUUAAAAACCAUUGUUACUGAAGAAAAGACUGUAUGCCUAAAAUCAGUAAGAUUUGAAAAGAGGUCUUGACAAUAUGAAGGACAUGAUUUUUUAUGGCAGUAAUAGUGGUGUGAGCUUUCAUAGCAAGAGUUUUCCAGGAUGGUAGAUCUGGUAACAACUCAACAUUUUACUCUCUUCUGGAGACAAUAUUCAGAUCAGAUACAGUUUUCCUCCUUCAUAUGGAUUAUUAUUAUCAAAAUGAUGAGGCAGGGGGGUAAGGGAUUGUAAAUUUUUGAUGGGAAACACCCUCUGUGUAACUGGUGCUAGCUUAUUUGGUAAUCAGAGGGGAGUUCUGAUCUUUAAACUGCUGUAGAACAGGCACCUGAAGGAUAACAGAAGUUUCUGAGUAAAGGUUAGGUGAAAAAUCAGGUUGAAAAGCCAUUUGUACUGGGAAGAUUGACUACGUAACUACAAUUUAUUUUUCUUAUUUCUGUGCAUUUGUUUCAUAUUUAAAAUGUUACAGUGAGGACAGGAAGUAGCUCAAAUUUCAGUCUGCAUUAAGUAGCAUUGUAACUGCUCAUCAACUAAAAAGAAAUUAUAGGUGAUAGCAGUAUUAAUCAUGUGCCCUCUGAUAUUUCAAAUUAUUUGAAUGAACUUAAACCAUUACAAUUAUAAUCACUAAAAUGAUUUCAAAAGUCAUUGCUAGUACUAAUACAUUUGACUACUAGCAGAGUGGCAUGUAAGAGAAAAUGAAAACUGUAGGAAGAUAAUAUACUGACUGCUUCAUUUUGAUACAACUCUUCAUCGCUGCUCAAUUGAAACUUGAAAAACUUGUUUCAAGAUGCAUGAAAGUUAACUAAAAUGUUUUAUUCUAACACAGCAUAGGUCUCAAAAUAUUGACAGCUCCAAGGGACAGAAAUUGUGAGCUGCCACCAUCUGCAGCUGCACAGCCAAUAUAUGUGUUAUUUAUUGAGUCUGGAAAACAUCCCUGAAAGAGCAGGAUCAGAAGGCAGCUCAUAUAAGGGCAGAUGCCAAGAGAUGGGAGAUUGAGCCCUACACCCAACUCAUUGCUUAGUACCAGUGCUUCUCUGGCCCCUAGAAGUUAAGGAAAAAGCCCUAGCUGCUAUGGGAUCUGUUGGGAAUAGAAAACCAAAAGCCAGAGGAAAAGAGAGAGAAAAGCAGAGGGAGCAAAAAACAAAAACAAACAAACAAACAAAACCAAACCAAAACAACAACAAAAAACCACUAAUGUUUCCCAGGAAUGUCUCCUGAAAAAAAAAGAACUCAGGUCUGAAUGUUUUGGCUGCACAGAUGCGAUCACAGCCCUGAAAAUCUUUAUAAUAAAUAAUCUAAUCUAUUUCUCUGAUAACUUAGAAUAAUGGUGAGGUGUGUUUUUUGUUUGUUUGUUUGUUGUUUUUUUUUUUGCCUCAUAUAUAUACUCUGCAGUUAAUUAUUCCCUUAUUUUUUUAUUAAAAACAAAACAAAAAAAAAAAGAAAUCUUUCUGUAUGGUAACUUGUGAGUCAUAGCCUGAACCACUGAUUGAACACCUGGGGAAGGGACCCGGUCAGCCCUGGAAGAACAGGUGAAGGCAAUUCAGCUGUGUGACUGGAAGGGGUGGAGCCUGGCUGCACCUUUCUUAGACCUCAUCUAAGGGCUGACUACUACUGGUAAAGGAUCUCUGGUUGGAGAUCUCUCUCUUGUGGAGUUUUCCUGCAGGCCUGGAUCUUUGGCAGUGGUAUACAAUAACUACCCUUAUGGAAGGUGGUUACAAAAGACCGUGAAAGAGAUGAACUUCAGAUCCAGGGUCACAAGGAAACUUCUUACAAUCAAAACUCUGUUUGCUCACCUCUGAUGUUUGCAGGUUGCACAGGACGCCUUCACUUGGCUUUACAAAGGAAGACUCAUGGACAAGGAAUGCAGGAAAGUUAACUCCUAUUCUCAUGGCACAGUUAACCUAUGGUGCACACACCAACCUUGCUGAGUGUCUAAAGAGCCAUAGUCUGGUUUAGCAUAUCCAGUUUCAGACAUCAUAGUAAGUAGAAACCUGGGAAUCUGGGCACAGUAUUUUUUUUCAGAAAUUCUGGUCUUCUCCCUUGGUUUUAUUUCUUUAUUUUAGGACAUUACAAGAUAAUAGUAUAGCAUGCUUCAACUUGAGAUAUUAGCUCCCCACUUUGAUUCAUGAAUGUUUACUGAAAAUUUAUCAGAACAAAUGUACAUCUAAUGAAUUCGCUUAACUCCAUUAUCCUUAUUUUAGAUUCUUGUGAGUUAAUGAAAAGCACAGCAGGCUUGAAUUGUUUUGCUUUUAAAUCUAAAGAUAUUAUUUGUUUUGGCUUAAAGGGAAUUGUGAAAAAUGCUGACGCACUUGAAAAGAACAAACUUAACUGCUUUCUGAGGAUAACAAAUGAACCUUAACAGUGAGAUCCUGCUGUAUGUGGGGCUCUAAAAUCACAAUGUAGAAGUGCUUUACUGUGAUGUAAGUCGAAGGGUAUAAAAUUAGUUACAUGUCCAAAUAUGUGUAAUCCAAGAUGAUAUCCAGUUAAAAAUGGCUAAUGCAUAAGGAAAUUUUUUUCUCCAAAUCUAAAGGAAUCGCUUAUACUCCCAUCCAAGAUUGAGUGACAUCACACACCAUGAAACAACAAUAUCUAACAAAACUUGUUCACUUCAACAGAAAUUUUCAAAGUCUGUUCAGACUUUUCCUCAUCACUGCUGCCUGACUUCAGUCUUGACAUCCUAAAUCUGAGAGUCACUCACUCCUUUUUUACUUCUUGUUCUACCACACUGACCAAUAGCUUUGCUUUUCCUUCUCAGUCUGUACCCACAACGUGCAUCAGCCAUACAAACAAUCUGAGUUUUUUUUAUGUAAAGCAUUACCCAUAUUCACUGGGGAAAAAACCAUAAACUGAAGCAAGUUUUCAAUAAAAUAAUGAAAUUAAAUUCUAGGUAGCUAGGAACAGCACACAUUGGAUUUCAGAGCUUCAUAUCUCCAUGCUACAGCUAAUACAGUUUCAUAGUUUUCAGUGUAUGUGAAACACUGCUAUUCAGGAGCUAUGCAGAAACAUAAAUUGCAAUUCCAGGAGGUAAAAAGAAGUAUCUAUUAAUUGUAUGUAUCAGUUUGUAUUCUAUAGGAGUAUGUGUUACAGAAAUAUAAUUCUGUUACGUGACAUAUGGCUGUCUUAUGGGGAACUAGUGCUAUGCUAGUAUUGAAAGAAAUGUUCUGUUCUCAACCAUAUACAAAUGCUUUUUUUUUUAUUGGCCUUGGUCUUCACAGAGGUCUAGCUUAAAUUCUGUUUUUCAUUAAUGUUGAAUGUCAGGAAAAGAAGCCAGGAUCCAACCCCAUAAUGCCAUUGUUGUGCUAUUUGAAAAGAUUUGCUGGUCUGUACUGUAAGCUCCCUGGGACAAAGUCUGUCUUUCCAGUGGUUGCAGACUGUGCAAAACAAUAGAAACAAUGCUGGAAUAUAAUAAAUGUUUAACAGUAUUAACAGUGCCAGUAGAUUCAGUUCUGGUCCAUGUAAUUGCAAAGUGUGUCCAGAUGCUGCAAUGAUGCAUACCUUGCAAAUGCAUGUAAUGAUAAACAGAUAAUAAAGGUU
This is a long non-coding RNA of Gallus gallus (chicken), 7132 nucleotides long. RefSeq lists it as uncharacterized. NCBI's taxonomy places the organism in Eukaryota, Metazoa, Chordata, Aves, Galliformes, Phasianidae. The record is from RefSeq and is a predicted model, not a curated record. The transcript is spliced from 9 exons.